GGCCCGGUAGUUCAGUUGGUUAGAACGCCGCCCUGUCACGGCGGAGGUCGAGAGUUCGAGUCUCUUCCGGGUCGCCA
Molecule: transfer RNA, 77 nt
Filed under: [Eubacterium] saphenum
Lineage: Bacteria; Bacillati; Bacillota; Clostridia; Peptostreptococcales; Anaerovoracaceae
Also listed under: 1 other name
Description: tRNA-Asp
Rfam family: tRNA
About the family: Transfer RNA (tRNA) molecules are approximately 80 nucleotides in length. Their secondary structure includes four short double-helical elements and three loops (D, anti-codon, and T loops). Further hydrogen bonds mediate the characteristic L-shaped molecular structure. tRNAs have two regions of fundamental functional importance: the anti-codon, which is responsible for specific mRNA codon recognition, and the 3' end, to which the tRNAs corresponding amino acid is attached (by aminoacyl-tRNA synthetases). tRNAs cope with the degeneracy of the genetic code in two manners: having more than one tRNA (with a specific anti-codon) for a particular amino acid; and 'wobble' base-pairing, i.e. permitting non-standard base-pairing at the 3rd anti-codon position.
Source: RNAcentral